AUGGCUAUGAAUUUGUUUUAUUACGUUUGUACGUCCACAUCUUAUUCUCACUCCUACCCAUUUUGCUGUCAUCUGUGAACGUUAUCGAGACGUGGCAAUCUGUCUUUGUACUUGUUCACGGUAGCUUUUAGACAAUUAGAAAUAUAUUGAAAGGGCUUUAAGAUAGUUGGACAGAACGGAGUGCUGUUAUAAGAUUGGGAAUGGUACGAGAAAGGAUGUGAAAAGAGAGUUCAAUCCAUCGGAGUUGUACUAAUGUCAUGCUUUAAACUUUGAACGCUCGGAAUUCUCGUCAAUAAUGAGACGGCUGGGCGUCUGGAAAUGAACGCUGGAUUAAACAGACAAGGAAUGAAACGAACGGGAACCGGCGGAUGGCGUAACCCCCUUUCCACGUCAGCCCAUUUGUCCGGAUGGCAAUUAAAGGGAACCGGCUGUACGGCAAGUAUUUCAGCAGGCCGAACGACUUACUACAAGCUAGGCCGUGUAGGCAAGUGAUUUUCCAAUUUACUUAAUUUAACUUCGACAGUUGUAUUUCGCCAUUAAAGAAGCUGGUGAGGCGACGAAUCAAAAGCGGAGACGGUCCGAAGCGGAUCGAGAUGAGUAGAAGGCGACCGAAUCCAUUGAGUUGGAAGGAGUCGCUCGGCGGUUCGGCGAGGCGUUCACAAGGAAAAUCCGGUCGUUAAAAAAGAAAGGAAAACAAAAAGAAAAUGACAGAACGAAUGCCCUGAGAAAUGAACUGAUGACGAUGUAUAUAGCGAGGCAUUGAUUUGCAUACGCGUCACUGGCUUUUGUAACACAAUGCACAGAGUGCCCCCCUACAUGUUGACGUGAAAAAGAAGAAUUCAGCUAGCGCAACACGCGACCUAUAGAGUCGCUGCUCUUGUUCUCAAUCUUCUUUGUCGAGUCCUACUCGACUCUUCUAGCUGCUCCGCUAAAUGGUCCGCAAACAGAAAGAUAAUCCUGCUUCUCCCUAUUGGAAACUAUAGAAAGAAUUAGAACAAAACAAAUCAAGAAAUACAAAAGAAAAAGAAUAUUAGAUAAAAAUCUCGUCGGAAAGAAAUGCAAUCAAUUUGAAAAGUUUGCAUUAUUUCAUUGCCAUCAGUGGUGAUGUGAUGCUUAGCGGAGGCCAAAGAUAAUGUCUCUAGUUCCAUUUCCAUGUCCACACUAAAUCAACAGAGAACACACACAAUCAAUGGUUCGUAAAUGCCCUUUUGCAAACGAUGCGACGAACCGCAGAAAGAGAACGGCGGUCGUCUUAAUCAUGUCGAUGGAGAAGGCCGCUUCAUCGCUUUCUCCACGACGCUCCAGCGGACAUCCAUCUCUUUCCACUCAUUCGAUCUUCCCCUUUCUGCGUAUAACCAAAGUCAAAAACAAGUUUUCCUAUAAAGUGCUACAGCUCGAUGUCGUAACUUUUGAACCCAUCUUCUUCCUGAUGGCUCGUCAUCGUUUCUUUUUUCGCUGUAUUGCUUUUUGUUGAUAAAAUAAUGUUGCGUGAUUCAAUCGAGAGCUAUAUAAUGACUCGUGUAUCCAGUUUUUAAUGUCUUUCUUCGUUUCCUUUUAUUUUUGACCAUUAGACGACAGACACAUGGAUCCCAGUGCGCUUUACGGCAUCGAGAGAAGAUGUGAUGGCGAACACUGUGAUAAUCGUCGCACAAUCCAAUUUGUUGGAGUGUGGUAAAUCAUCAAUUCAUUAAAAUGUCUACCCGAAUGAGUAUUGCCGCUGCUUCUGCUUUCAGAACGCGAGCACUCAAAGACGUACGUGAGCGAUGAGCAUAGCUUUGAUCUUUCUUCCUCUCCAAAUGUGUCAUGCAACACAUCUUCAUGUGGAACAGUCAACCAUUCCAGCUGAGAUACAUAUAUGUACAUGUAUGCUAGUUUUAUUUAACUUCUUCCACGUUACGAUAUGCAACGUCAACCCCCUCCUGUACUGAUUCGUUCGGCAAA
This is a long non-coding RNA of Daphnia carinata, 1941 nucleotides long. RefSeq lists it as uncharacterized. The transcript is spliced from 2 exons. NCBI's taxonomy places the organism in Eukaryota, Metazoa, Arthropoda, Branchiopoda, Diplostraca, Daphniidae. The record is from RefSeq and is a predicted model, not a curated record.